GGUCAAGGAUGGACUCGCGGCCUAUCAGGUAGUUGGUGAGGUAACGGCUCACCAAGCCUACGACGGGUAGCCGGCCUGAGAGGGUGACCGGCCACACUGGGACUGAGACACGGCCCAGACUCCUACGGGAGGCAGCAGUGGGGAAUAUUGCACAAUGGGCGCAAGCCUGAUGCAGCAACGCCGCGUGAGGGACGACGGCCUUCGGGUUGUAAACCUCUUUUAGUAGGGAAGAAGCGAAAGUGACGGUACCUGCAGAAAAAGCACCGGCUAACUACGUGCCAGCAGCCGCGGUAAUACGUAGGGUGCAAGCGUUGUCCGGAAUUAUUGGGCGUAAAGAGCUCGUAGGCGGUUUGUCGCGUCUGCUGUGAAAACCCGAGGCUCAACCUCGGGCCUGCAGUGGGUACGGGCAGACUAGAGUGCGGUAGGGGAGAAUGGAAUUCCUGGUGUAGCGGUGGAAUGCGCAGAUAUCAGGAGGAACACCGAUGGCGAAGGCAGUUCUCUGGGCCGUAACUGACGCUGAGGAGCGAAAGCGUGGGGAGCGAACAGGAUUAGAUACCCUGGUAGUCCACGCCGUAAACGUUGGGCGCUAGAUGUGGGGACCAUUCCACGGUUUCCGUGUCGCAGCUAACGC
RNAcentral lists this ribosomal RNA (631 nucleotides) under Cryocola sp. RNAcentral's name for it is "bacterial SSU rRNA". It matches the Rfam family "Bacterial small subunit ribosomal RNA", at positions 217 to 858 of the family's 1533-position model. Lineage: Bacteria; Bacillati; Actinomycetota; Actinomycetes; Micrococcales; Microbacteriaceae. The record is from RNAcentral.